This 112-nucleotide Y RNA is filed under the name Jaculus jaculus (lesser Egyptian jerboa). RNAcentral's name for it is "Y RNA (ENSJJAG00000007469.1)". It matches the Rfam family "Y RNA". Rfam says of the family: Y RNAs are components of the Ro ribonucleoprotein particle (Ro RNP), in association with Ro60 and La proteins. The Y RNAs and Ro60 and La proteins are well conserved, but the function of the Ro RNP is not known. In humans the RNA component can be one of four small RNAs -- hY1, hY3, hY4 and hY5. Lineage: Eukaryota; Metazoa; Chordata; Mammalia; Rodentia; Dipodidae. The record is from Rfam by way of RNAcentral.
GACUGGUCUGAAGGUAGUGGGUUAUCUCAGUUGACUGUUCACAAUCAGUUACAGAUGGAACUCCUUGUUCUACAAUUUCCCCCUUCUCACUACUGCACUUGACUAAUCUUGG